AAAUGAUUUUUAAAAGGAAAAAAUAAAAUCGAAGAAAAUGCCCGUAUUUAAAUUGGUCAAAAUUUGUCUUUAUUCAUUUUGAGGUCAACUGACGGUAGAACUAAUAUUUUUAGUCAUUUUGGACUGUAUUUACGAAUUUCUCAAAGGUUUGGGGGUUGUGGUAACACAAACUAAAUAUUGAGGUAAAGUCUGCAAAAAAAAGGUUUAAGAAUACGGUUGUAAUUUUCACUAAUUUCAAAGGGGCAAAAUAGUAACUUUGUAUUUUCCAUAAAAAUCAAUUAAAUUAAAAUAAUUAAAUCAAAAAAGAUAAAAGAUGACAUAAAAAUAAAUUUAUCUUCUUCUCUCAUCCCAGCCCCAUUGCAACUAGCACCAGCACCCACUAAACCAAAACCCAUAAAACCUACCACAAUCAUGCCACCACCCACCCAUUGCCACCACUGUAUAAUCUAUCCCAACAUCUCAAGCAAUAACACAAACCAUCUCAACCAAUUUAAAGACUACAAUCGUAAACAACACAAAUAAUCUUACCCAGUUGGACAACCAUAAUCUCAAAUCAUAACCGGCAUCAAGAAAUAAGAUCACUGGGCAUGGAUAUGAGGGCUAAAGUGAUGGAAGAACAUUUAAAGAAGUUGGACAGAGAAGUGGAAGGAUUGAGUGAAGUGUUUAAAAUAUUAAGCAAAGAGGAAAAUAAAAAGAGAAGUCGAUAGCUGGAUCCCAAACAAAAUUAGUCUGCUAGUGGGCUAAUCAGUUAAAAGAGUAGAAUACAACUUGGGAACAACUCUAAUAAGGGUAAAUUGGGGAUGGUAAAUAAACUACCCAAAAUUUAUUUUCUCUAUUUUAAUGGAGAACAGUAGGGAGAAUGACUAAGGAAGAUUGUCAAUCUUGUUCAGCGCCGUGUGGGUGGGAGAGUGAUGGUCAGUGGGUUUUGUGGUUUUGAUUUGGUUUGGAAAAUAAAAUUUGAAGAUUGUACCGAGACACAAACAUAGAAUUUUUUUGUUAAAUUCACGUGAAUUUGCAAAGAAAAUUUUGGGACAUUUUGAUGUAGCGUUGAGGUGGUGGCAGCUAAGGUGGCAGUUGGUGGUGGUGGCAACGACAAGUCGGUGGAUUUGGU
RNAcentral lists this long non-coding RNA (1111 nucleotides) under Olea europaea subsp. europaea. The record is from RNAcentral. Lineage: Eukaryota; Viridiplantae; Streptophyta; Magnoliopsida; Lamiales; Oleaceae.